Molecule: ribosomal RNA, 253 nt
Filed under: uncultured bacterium
Lineage: Bacteria
Description: partial 16S ribosomal RNA
Rfam family: Bacterial small subunit ribosomal RNA
Source: RNAcentral
UACGAAGGGGGCUAGCGUUGCUCGGAAUCACUGGGCGUAAAGCGCACGUAGGCGGCUUGUUAAGUCAGGGGUGAAAUCCUGGAGCUCAACUCCAGAACUGCCUUUGAUACUGGCGAGCUUGAGUUCGGGAGAGGUGAGUGGAACUGCGAGUGUAGAGGUGAAAUUCGUAGAUAUUCGCAAGAACACCGGUGGCGAAGGCGGCUAUCUGGACCGACAUUGACGCUGAGGCGCGAAAGCGUGGGGAGCAAACAGG